UCCGCUGAGGAUGGCUUUUACCCAGUGUAAAAAGCUGGGGGAAUAAGGAGAGGGCAAGUCUGGUGUCAGCCGCCGCGGUAAUACCAGCUCUCCGAGUGGUGUGGAUGUUUAUUGGGCCUAAAGCAUUCGUAGCCGGCUGGGCAAGUCCCCUGUUAAAUCCACCGAUUCAAUCGUUGGAAUGCGGGGGAUACUGUUCGGCUAGGGGACGGGAGAGGCCGACGGUAUUUCCGGGGUAGGGGUGAAAUCCUAUAAUCCCGGGAAGACCACCAGUGGCGAAGGCUGUCGG
This 286-nucleotide ribosomal RNA is filed under the name Candidatus Bathyarchaeota archaeon. RNAcentral describes it as "partial 16S ribosomal RNA". It matches the Rfam family "Archaeal small subunit ribosomal RNA", at positions 391 to 679 of the family's 1478-position model. The record is from RNAcentral. Lineage: Archaea; Thermoproteati; Candidatus Bathyarchaeota.